GGACGGUUUAAAGAUCGUUUUUUGGGGCAUUUAAUUGACGGGACAGGUGCAGACUGGAAAGGGGAAAGAGAGAGGGAGAAGACAAGCAGUAGAAUGCCUCAGGCAGAAUGUAAACCCUGAGCGGCUGCAGUGAGGACUGGGGCCUCGGUACAUCAGGCGCACACUCUGCCAGCUCAAACAACAAAAGUAUGAAUUUGGAUGUGGCUGAGCCAGUCACAGUUAAAGAGCAAGCUUCAAGAGGGGCAUCAUUGGAUAUCACUGUAAUCUGACCAUGGGAAGCUUACAACCAUGUGCAUGCAACCAGGCUGCAUGCACUGGUUCAGUAUGGUGUCAUCCUAGUCUCUUCACAGAAAAACAUCUUUAUAUCUACCAGAACUGAUAUUGCAGCAAGUGGAACAAUUACCAACCCAAUCUUCAUACUCAAUAUUGGCUCUUGGAAAAACUAAAACUAAAAAAACACAAACUGAAAAACAUGUAAAAUUAUGUCUGCAUAUAGACAAUGUUGUUCUUAGUCUUGUUUCAUAUAUUAAAUCUGUUUUAACAAGAUUCUCAAGCUGCCUGAUGCUGAAUGUGUCUUUGUGUCAUUGCCUGAGGUUGCACUG
Etheostoma spectabile (orangethroat darter) is the source of this 602-nucleotide long non-coding RNA. RefSeq lists it as uncharacterized. The record is from RefSeq and is a predicted model, not a curated record. NCBI's taxonomy places the organism in Eukaryota, Metazoa, Chordata, Actinopteri, Perciformes, Percidae. The transcript is spliced from 3 exons.